Molecule: ribosomal RNA, 608 nt
Filed under: uncultured bacterium
Lineage: Bacteria
Description: bacterial SSU rRNA
Rfam family: Bacterial small subunit ribosomal RNA (bases 1-517)
Source: RNAcentral
CCUACGGGAGGCAGCAGUGGGGAAUCUUGCACAAUGGAGGAAACUCUGAUGCAGCGAUGCCGCGUGAGUGAAGAAGGCCUUUGGGUUGUAAAGCUCUUUUGUAGGGGAAGAUAAUGACUGUACCCUAAGAAUAAGGUCCGGCUAACUUCGUGCCAGCAGCCGCGGUAAUACGAAGGGACCUAGCGUAGUUCGGAAUUACUGGGCGUAAAGCGCGCGUAGGCCGUUGAGUUAGUUAAUUGUGAAAUCCCAAAGCUUAACUUUGGAACUGCAAUUAAAACUGCUCGACUAGAGUUUGAUAGAGGAAAGCGGAAUACAUAGUGUAGAGGUGAAAUUCGUAGAUAUUAUGUAGAACACCAGUUGCGAAGGCGGCUUUCUGGAUCAACACUGACGCUGAGGCGCGAAAGUAUGGGUAGCAAAGAGGAUUAGAUACCCUCGUAGUCCAUACCAUAAACGAUGAUUGNUANAUGUUAGUAAUUUAAUUUACUAUAUCGCAGCUACGACAUAAUACACUACCGCCGUCGGGUAGGUACGACCGACGAACGUUAAACGUAACGAAAGAAAGUUAGACGGCGNGAGACGUGCCGACGGACGACGACGAGGGAGGUAGG